UUGUACCUAUCCUACCCUGUUCAGAGUAUGUGAGGAUUGAUUUCAUCUCUACGUUUCUAUCUAAGUUUGGGGUUGCUGUUGGAAUAGCAACCUUUAAGUUUGGGGUCGCUUUGCAGUACGUGAAUAGUAAGUGAAUGUCGUAUAUAUAUAAAAAUAAAAAAAAAUAAAAAACAAAAAGAGAAAAACAACAACAACAUGAAAAGAAAGAAAGAGAAAAGCGAAAAACAAUAAAAGAACAGCUUUUGAAAAAUGCUACAUUCACU
This 263-nucleotide long non-coding RNA is filed under the name Lathyrus oleraceus (garden pea). RNAcentral's name for it is "Pisum sativum (pea) long non-coding RNA (PSAT_LNC015168)". Lineage: Eukaryota; Viridiplantae; Streptophyta; Magnoliopsida; Fabales; Fabaceae. The record is from RNAcentral.